This 74-nucleotide transfer RNA is filed under the name Cyanobacteria bacterium UBA8543. RNAcentral's name for it is "tRNA-Met". It matches the Rfam family "tRNA". Rfam says of the family: Transfer RNA (tRNA) molecules are approximately 80 nucleotides in length. Their secondary structure includes four short double-helical elements and three loops (D, anti-codon, and T loops). Lineage: Bacteria; Bacillati; Cyanobacteriota. The record is from RNAcentral.
GCCAGGGUAGAGCAGUCCGGUAGCUCGCGAGGCUCAUAAUCUCGAAGUCGCUGGUUCAAAUCCAGCCCCUGACA